CCUACGGGAGGCAGCAGUGAGGAAUAUUGGUCAUUGGGCGCGAGCCUGAACCAGCCAAGUAGCGUGAAGGUUGACUGCCCUACGGGUUGUAAACUUCUUUUUUAAAGGAUUAAAGUGAGGCACGUGUGCCUUUUUGUAUGUACUUUAUGAUUAAGGAUCGCCUAACUCCGUGCCAGCGGCCGCGGUAAUACGGAGGAGCCGAGCGUUAUCCGGAUUUAUUGGGUUUAAAGGGAGCGUAGAUGGGUUGUUAAGUCAGUUGUGAAAGUUUGCGGCUCAACCGUAAAAUUGCAAUUGAUACUGGCAGCCUUGAGUACAGAUGAGGUAGGCGGAAUGCGUGGUGUAGCGGUGAAAUGCUUAGAUAUCACGAAGAACUCCGAUUGCGAAGGCAGCCUACUAAACUGCCACUGACAUUGAUGCUCGAAAGUGUGGGUAUCAAACAGGAUUAGAUACCCUAGUAGUC
This 460-nucleotide ribosomal RNA is filed under the name uncultured bacterium. Its description in RNAcentral is "partial 16S ribosomal RNA". It matches the Rfam family "Bacterial small subunit ribosomal RNA", at positions 338 to 795 of the family's 1533-position model. The record is from RNAcentral.